UACCUGAAAGUGAUGAAAAAUAAACGGAUUAUUACAUAUCCGAGAGCGCAAAAACCAUGUGGAUAUUGCCGUUGCCUUCCUUCUGAUUCAGGU
Molecule: small nucleolar RNA, 93 nt
Organism: Schizosaccharomyces osmophilus
Lineage: Eukaryota; Fungi; Ascomycota; Schizosaccharomycetes; Schizosaccharomycetales; Schizosaccharomycetaceae
Source: RefSeq, a predicted model, not a curated record